GGAAUUGUAGCUCAGUGGUAAAGUGUUUAUUUAGCAUGUAUAAGAGCCUAGGUUCAAUCCCCAGCACCA
This 69-nucleotide transfer RNA is filed under the name Dipodomys ordii (Ord's kangaroo rat). It matches the Rfam family "tRNA". Rfam says of the family: Transfer RNA (tRNA) molecules are approximately 80 nucleotides in length. The record is from Rfam by way of RNAcentral. Lineage: Eukaryota; Metazoa; Chordata; Mammalia; Rodentia; Heteromyidae.